AGGUGAUGCCCCCCCCCCCCAAAAAAAAUGAUUUCUGAGAAGUGUGGAAUGAAUAUUAUGUGGCACCUGUAACAUGUUCAGUUCUGCAUAUUGAAGCAGUCAAGUGGGAAUAUAUGGGGUAACACAAUCUGCCAAAAUAAAAUAGAAUGAUUUGCUCUCUUUCUUAUGUUCAGCACAAAAAGUAGUUUUUCUCAUUCUGGAAUAGUUCAUGCUUGUCCUCAUCAUGCUGCUGUCAAUCUAGAUUGAUUAGAUCCUGCUGUCCACAAGGGUGGCUGUGGUUGUUUGAUAAAUGUUUGAAAACUUUCCCCUUGAUUAGGUCAUCCACACCUUUUCCUCCCUGUACGUGCCCCAGGUGAAUGGAGAAGGGAGCAGUGAUUACGAUCCUGGUAUAUGCCCACCCUCAGCAUCAUUGGGCAGGUGUAGAUACAUCUCCGAUUGCCAGAACUGCCUACAUCUGUUUUCAAAUGGGCACAGUGCAGAGUAAUGCCAAAUCAAUCUACAAUGAGCUUUUAUAUUUGGAAUGAAACCAGAUUCUCAAGAAGUACUUUUCAGGGGCAAAAAGAAGAAGGAGAAGAUCUAGAUGGUGUGCAGAUUUACAUAGGAAAAAACCAAGCCUCCACUGAUUCUAGAACAAGGUGUCAUGGAUGAAAAAAUAAGGAAGGGGAAGAGUGGAGCAGCUAGCAUCUUGGACAGCAGCAUUUUGCACUGCACCAUUUUGUUGCAGAACUCAUUUACAGAAUAGUCAUCUCAUUCUCAAGUUAUGUUCUGCGCUUAGCUUCCCAG
Molecule: non-coding RNA, 783 nt
Organism: Podarcis lilfordi (Lilford's wall lizard)
Lineage: Eukaryota; Metazoa; Chordata; Lepidosauria; Squamata; Lacertidae
Source: the annotation of a GenBank genome assembly